UGGGGAAUAUUGCACAAUGGGCGCAAGCCUGAUGCAGCCAUGCCGCGUGUGUGAAGAAGGCCUUCGGGUUGUAAAGCACUUUCAGCGGGGAGGAAGGCGAUAAGGUUAAUAACCUCAUCGAUUGACGUUACCCGCAGAAGAAGCACCGGAUAACACCGUGCCAGCAGCCGCGGUAAUACGGAGGGUGCAAGCGUUAAUCGGAAUUACUGGGCGUAAAGCGUACGCAGGCGGUUGAUUGAGUCAGAUGUGAAAGCCCCGGGCUUAACCCGGGAAUUGCAUCUGAUACUGGUCAGCUAGAGUCUUGUAGAGGGGGGUAGAAUUCCAUGUGUAGCGGUGAAAUGCGUAGAGAUGUGGAGGAUUACCGGUGGCGAAGGCGGCCCCCUGGACAAAGACUGACGCUCAGGUGCGAAAGCGUGGGGAGCAAACAGG
Molecule: ribosomal RNA, 429 nt
Filed under: Chloroflexota bacterium
Lineage: Bacteria; Bacillati; Chloroflexota
Description: Chloroflexi bacterium partial 16S ribosomal RNA
Rfam family: Bacterial small subunit ribosomal RNA
Source: RNAcentral